AACGGCCGUACCAUGCUGAAUAUACCGGUUCUCGUUAGAUCACCGAAGUUAAGCAUCAUUGGGCGUGGUCAGUACUUGGGUGGGAACAGGUCAGUACCUGGGAACACUGCGUGCCGUU
Non-coding RNA from Caerostris darwini, 118 nucleotides. NCBI's taxonomy places the organism in Eukaryota, Metazoa, Arthropoda, Arachnida, Araneae, Araneidae. The record is from the annotation of a GenBank genome assembly.